Molecule: non-coding RNA, 537 nt
Organism: Myotis lucifugus (little brown bat)
Lineage: Eukaryota; Metazoa; Chordata; Mammalia; Chiroptera; Vespertilionidae
Source: the annotation of a RefSeq genome assembly
AUGGCCUGGACUCCUCUGCUCCUCGUGCUCCUCUCUCACUGCACAGGGUCCCUCUCCCAGCCUGUGCUGACUCAGCCGCCCUCCCUCUCUGCAUCUCCGGGAGCCACAGCCAGACUCACCUGCACCCUGAGCAGUGGCUUCAGUGUUGGCAGUUACUGGAUACGCUGGUACCAGCAGAAGCCAGGGAGUUCUCCCCGGUAUCUCCUGAAAUUCUACUCAGACUCAGAUAAGGGCCAGGGCUCUGGGGUCCCCAGUCGUUUCUCUGGAUCCAAAGACGCCUCGGCCAAUGCGGGGCUCCUGACCAUCUCGGGGCUGCAGCCUGAGGACGAGGCUGUCUAUUACUGUGACACAUGGGACAGCAGCUCUAAGACUCUCACAGUGGCCCAGACCCACAGGGAAGUGAGACAAAAACCUCCUCUCCGCUCUCCUGGCCUGACCUUGGCCCCUGCUGGCGGCUCCGCCCAGGUCUGGCUCAGCCGUGACUGUGCUGAUAGGUGUCCAUCCGGCACCGUGUGGUGCUUGGACCCGAGGUCCUGA